AUACGGAGGAUGCAAGCGUUAUCCGGAUUUAUUGGGUUUAAAGGGUGCGCAGGCGGCGCGAUAAGUCAGCGGUGAAAUGUACCGGCUCAACCGGUGAGCUGCCGUUGAUACUGUCGUGCUUGAGUGCGAGCGGCGCCGGCGGAAUGUGUGAUGUAGCGGUGAAAUGCAUAGAUAUCACACAGAACACCGAUCGCGAAGGCAGCUGGCGAGGACGUUACUGACGCUGAGGCACGAAAGCGUGGGGAUAGAACAGGAUUAGAUACCCUGGUAUUCCACGCCGUAAACGAUGAUGACUAACCGUCGGCGAUAGACAGCCGGUGGCCAAGCGAAAGCGAUAAGUCAUCCACCUGGGGAGUACGUCGGCAACGAUGAAACUCAAAGGAAUUGACGGGG
Molecule: ribosomal RNA, 393 nt
Filed under: uncultured bacterium
Lineage: Bacteria
Description: partial 16S ribosomal RNA
Rfam family: Bacterial small subunit ribosomal RNA
Source: RNAcentral